AGAGCGAACGCUGGCGGCAGGCCUAACACAUGCAAGUCGAACGAACUCUUCGGAGUUAGUGGCGGACGGGUGAGUAACACGUGGGAACGUGCCUUUUGGUUCGGAAUAACUCAGGGAAACUUGUGCUAAUACCGAAUGUGCCCUUCGGGGGAAAGAUUUAUCGCCAUUAGAGCGGCCCGCGUCUGAUUAGCUAGUUGGUGAGGU
RNAcentral lists this ribosomal RNA (204 nucleotides) under uncultured soil bacterium. Its description in RNAcentral is "partial 16S ribosomal RNA". It matches the Rfam family "Bacterial small subunit ribosomal RNA", at positions 26 to 258 of the family's 1533-position model. The record is from RNAcentral.